This is a long non-coding RNA of Schistocerca gregaria, 1330 nucleotides long. RefSeq lists it as uncharacterized. Lineage: Eukaryota; Metazoa; Arthropoda; Insecta; Orthoptera; Acrididae. The record is from RefSeq and is a predicted model, not a curated record. The transcript is spliced from 4 exons.
AGUAGGCGUUUGUUUUUCAGCGAUUAUCAUGGAGAUGGACCAACAUAUCACGAAAGUUAAAUUAUGUUGUGGGAUGAGAGACGUAAUUUACUGUUUGACUGUUCAGUAUUGCAUAGUAACAGUGAAUAUGCACAACGAUUAUUUUGAAAAAAAAAAAAAACAUGAUUUUAGAGAGAUUUUAACAGUGCACCACCACUAUAGCAAAUACUAAAAACUUCACUGACAGCAGCUGGUUGGCAUCCUCAAGGCCCAAUAAACAAAUUUAUACUGUGUUUGCUGUUGAUGAUGAUGUUUAAAAGGUUAAGAAAGUUAGAAAUUACGAAUCGCAUUUUUUUAAUAGUUGCGCUUCGGUAACGUUUCAAAACAAUUCGAGCUGGAUAUGGAAUCCACAUGGGAGAAAGAGGCAGUCACACUGUGCAGCAUAAUAGACAGCAAAGAAGAACCAAUAUUAACCUACCAGCAUCCAGAAACUGAACAGAUCUGCAUUAAAGAAGAAAUUGUUGUGUGACAAAAAGAUCCUGUGACAGGCUGAAAACCUGUUAUGAAAACAUGAAAAGAAGACUUCAGAAAGAUCUUGUCGAAGAAGAGGUGGAAGUGUAUAAAACAAGUUGGGGGGGAGCCUACCCAAAAAACCAACAAAUGCAUACGAUUCUGAUGCACAGUUUAGUAUGACUGUGGAUGUUGUUAACAUAGAGUGCAGUGCUGUGCAGUGAGGACACACCAUCUGCUUCAGUGGUUGAGUUAGCAAAGUGCACACAACCUAGCACUUCCCACACACCUGACAUAAUACAAAGUAAAGAGACAUCAAAGAAUGUUCUGGUGGCUGUCACCCAGCUGCAGACUGUUUUGCAGUCUCCUGAUCCACCCAAUGAAAACAUUUUCACACCGAAAAAUACAUGGCAUCGUCGCAGGACGCCUACAAAACCGAGGCCUUCAGGUUCGAGAACAGUAAUUGAAAGUGUGUGCAAGAAGAGAGUGGAACUACUGGAGGUCCAAUUACGCAUAAUGAAGGCUGAACAUAAGAAGGAGCUGAGGAUUAAAAAUUUAAAGAUUCUGGCGCUAAAAAAAAAAGAAACUAAAUUACUGGAAGAAGAAAAAUGCCAGUAACAUGAUUUUUUUUUCCUAUGACAGUGAAUUUUUGUAAUUUUUUCUGCUGUUUUGUAUUCUAGCUAAUGUCUCACAGGUGAAACUGUUUCUCUGUGUUUGUCCCAUUAGUGAUGACUGCUACUAUCCUAACUGUUGUCUGCUUAUAGCUUACUUGGUGUGGACAAAGUUUCAUCUAAUCACUUGAAAUUAGAAUUACUUCAUAAAUAAAAACAGGUUAGCGACA